Non-coding RNA from Salmo salar (Atlantic salmon), 83 nucleotides. NCBI's taxonomy places the organism in Eukaryota, Metazoa, Chordata, Actinopteri, Salmoniformes, Salmonidae. The record is from Rfam.
UCCCGUCUGGCUCAGUUGGUAGAGCAUGGUGUUUGCAACGUGUUUACAACGCCAGGGUCGUGGGUUCGAUUCCCACGGGGGAC